GAUGAACGCUGGCGGCGUGCCUAAUACAUGCAAGUCGAGCGAACGGACGAGAAGCUUGCUUCUCUGAUGUUAGCGGCGGACGGGUGAGUAACACGUGGAUAACCUACCUAUAAGACUGGGAUAACUUCGGGAAACCGGAGCUAAUACCGGAUAAUAUUUUGAACCGCAUGGUUCAAAAGUGGAAGACGGUCUUGCUGUCACUUAUAGAUGGAUCCGCGCUGCAUUAGCUAGUUGGUAAGGUAACGGCUUACCAAGGCAACGAUGCAUAGCCGACCUGAGAGGGUGAUCGGCCACACUGGAACUGAGACACGGUCCAGACUCCUACGGGAGGCAGCAGUAGGGAAUCUUCCGCAAUGGGCGAAAGCCUGACGGUGCAACGCCGCGUGAGUGAUGAAGGUCUUCGGAUCGUAAAACUCUGUUAUUAGGGAAGAACAUAUGUGUAAGUAACUGUGCACAUCUUGACGGUACCUAAUCAGAAAGCCACGGCUAACUACGUGCCAGCAGCCGCGGUAAUACGUAGGUGGCAAGCGUUAUCCGGAAUUAUUGGGCGUAAAGCGCGCGUAGGCGGUUUUUUAAGUCUGAUGUGAAAGCCCACGGCUCAACCGUGGAGGGUCAUUGGAAACUGGAAAACUUGAGUGCAGAAGAGGAAAGUGGAAUUCCAUGUGUAGCGGUGAAAUGCGCAGAGAUAUGGAGGAACACCAGUGGCGAAGGCGACUUUCUGGUCUGUAACUGACGCUGAUGUGCGAAAGCGUGGGGAUCAAACAGGAUUAGAUACCCUGGUAGUCCACGCCGUAAACGAUGAGUGCUAAGUGUUAGGGGGUUUCCGCCCCUUAGUGCUGCAGCUAACGCAUUAAGCACUCCGCCUGGGGAGUACGACCGCAAGGUUGAAACUCAAAGGAAUUGACGGGGACCCGCACAAGCGGUGGAGCAUGUGGUUUAAUUCGAAGCAACGCGAAGAACCUUACCAAAUCUUGACAUCCUUUGACAACUCUAGAGAUAGAGCCUUCCCCUUCGGGGGACAAAGUGACAGGUGGUGCAUGGUUGUCGUCAGCUCGUGUCGUGAGAUGUUGGGUUAAGUCCCGCAACGAGCGCAACCCUUAAGCUUAGUUGCCAUCAUUAAGUUGGGCACUCUAAGUUGACUGCCGGUGACAAACCGGAGGAAGGUGGGGAUGACGUCAAAUCAUCAUGCCCCUUAUGAUUUGGGCUACACACGUGCUACAAUGGACAAUACAAAGGGCAGCGAAACCGCGAGGUCAGGCAAAUCCCAUAAAGUUGUUCUCAGUUCGGAUUGUAGUCUGCAACUCGACUACAUGAAGCUGGAAUCGCUAGUAAUCGUAGAUCAGCAUGCUACGGUGAAUACGUUCCCGGGUCU
RNAcentral lists this ribosomal RNA (1372 nucleotides) under uncultured bacterium. RNAcentral's name for it is "bacterial SSU rRNA". It matches the Rfam family "Bacterial small subunit ribosomal RNA", at positions 28 to 1381 of the family's 1533-position model. The record is from RNAcentral.